AGUGACAAGAAAUAACAAUACAGGGCCUAACGGUCUUGUAAUUGGAAUGAGUGAAGUAUAAACCCCUUUACGAGUAUCAAUUGGAGGGCAAGUCUGGUGCCAGCAGCCGCGGUAAUUCCAGCUCCAAUAGCGUAUAUUAAAGUUGUUGCAGUUAAAAAGCUCGUAGUUGAUUUUCUGUUAAUUUUUAUGUAUAAUAUUGCGAUAUUUACAUAAUAUUAACAUAAUUCACAUUACUUUACAGUAUGUGGAAUUUUACUUUGAGAAAAUUAGAGUGCUUAAAGCAGG
Molecule: ribosomal RNA, 285 nt
Filed under: Cryptosporidium environmental sequence
Lineage: Eukaryota; Apicomplexa; Conoidasida; Eucoccidiorida; Cryptosporidiidae
Description: partial small subunit ribosomal RNA
Rfam family: Eukaryotic small subunit ribosomal RNA
Source: RNAcentral